UACGGGGGGGAGCAAGCGUUGUUCGGAUUUACUGGGCGUAAAGGGCGCGUAGGCGGCGUGACAAGUCACUUGUGAAAUCUCCGAGCUCAACUCGGAAACUGCAUUGGAAACUACCUGGCUCGAGGGUUGGAGGGGGGACUGGAAUGCUUGGUGUAGCAGUGAAAUGCGUAGAUAUCAAGCGGAACACCAGUGGCGAAGGCGAGUCCCUGGACAACACCUGACACUGAGGCACGAAAGCCGGGGGAGCAAACAGG
Molecule: ribosomal RNA, 254 nt
Filed under: uncultured bacterium
Lineage: Bacteria
Description: partial 16S ribosomal RNA
Rfam family: Bacterial small subunit ribosomal RNA
Source: RNAcentral